UCUCACCCCUGGGUCCGUCGC
This 21-nucleotide microRNA is filed under the name Suid alphaherpesvirus 1. Its description in RNAcentral is "prv-miR-LLT1". Its record names the gene prv-miR-LLT1. The record is from miRBase by way of RNAcentral. Lineage: Duplodnaviria; Heunggongvirae; Peploviricota; Herviviricetes; Herpesvirales; Orthoherpesviridae.